UAAAAACACAGGACUUUGCUAAAUAGUAAUAUGAUGUAUAAGGUCUGACGUCUGCCCGGUGAUGAAUAAUUAAUAGGAGAGAUAUUUUAUUUUAUUAAAUUUUAAUUUUAUAAAAUGUUUUGAAUAUAAGUGUCAUUAAACGGCGGCUGUAACUCUGACGGUCCUAAGGUAGCGAAAUUCCUUGUCAAUUAAGUAUUGACCCGCAUGAAUGACGUAACGACUUCACCACUGUCUCCAGAGUUGAUCCAGUGAAUUUGCAAUUUACGUGAAGAUGCGUAAUAUUUACGGCGGGACGGAGAGACCCCGUGCACCUUAACUAUAAUUUUAUAUUGAAAGGGGUAAUUUAAUAUGAAGAAUAAUUAGGAGUUUAUGAUCUAUGUAUUUUUUAUACAUUAGGAGACGUCUGUGCUAUACUAGUUAUUAAAUUAGUAUCUUUCUAAUUUUAAGAAAAAAGUAGUAUGAUUGGUAGUUUAGCUGGGCGGCUUCCUCCAAAAGAGUAACGGAGGAGUACAAAGACAAUUC
Molecule: ribosomal RNA, 522 nt
Filed under: uncultured bacterium
Lineage: Bacteria
Description: bacterial LSU rRNA
Rfam family: Bacterial large subunit ribosomal RNA
Source: RNAcentral